RNAcentral lists this ribosomal RNA (253 nucleotides) under uncultured bacterium. RNAcentral's name for it is "partial 16S ribosomal RNA". It matches the Rfam family "Bacterial small subunit ribosomal RNA", at positions 524 to 776 of the family's 1533-position model. The record is from RNAcentral.
UACGUAGGGUGCGAGCGUUGUCCGGAAUUAUUGGGCGUAAAGAGCUUGUAGGCGGUUUGUCGCGUCUGCUGUGAAAAUCCGGGGCUCAACCCCGGACUUGCAGUGGGUACGGGCAGACUAGAGUGUGGUAGGGGAGACUGGAAUUCCUGGUGUAGCGGUGAAAUGCGCAGAUAUCAGGAGGAACACCUGCGGCGAAGGCGGGUUGCUGGGCUGACACUGACGCUGAGGCGCGAAAGCCAGGGGAGCGAACGGG